RNAcentral lists this long non-coding RNA (5160 nucleotides) under Homo sapiens (human). RNAcentral describes it as "HSALNT0384308". The record is from RNAcentral. Lineage: Eukaryota; Metazoa; Chordata; Mammalia; Primates; Hominidae.
CGCUUCUGCAGCCCCUGCACCACGUCCUCAUACUUGUCCAGCACCUUCUCCUGGUCCUGGAGAGAACGGGGUCAGGGGCCCAGGUGUGACACUUCUGGAACAGGCAAGUCCAUAGAGACAGCAAGAAGACCAAAGCUGACAACCAUCUGGGCCGUUUCCACCUUUGGGCCAUCGUGAGAAUCACGCUGCUAUGAACGUUCGGGAACAAGCUUUUGUGUUCCCCAGGGUACCUGGACACCUACCGGAGUCAUGGACCAGCAAUGCAGGUGCUGUUGAUGUUGGGGGCAUUGGGGGCAGAAAUGGCAGCAGCCAACAUGCUGGGGAUCCAUCCGUCUAGGUUCCACACCUUGCUUAAGGGCCAGCUUUGUGGCAGACCUGGAUACACCGGAGCUGGGGGAUCUUGAGGGAACAGGACCCAAGCCAUACCUUCUGCAAGGUCAACUGGGGGCAGCCUGUCCCAAAGUGGGGUCCCAGGAACCCAACUCUUACAAGUCUUAUUCUUCCUUGGUCAAGGCACUUAGGAAAACCCCAUCCUUGAUAUGUUCAUGAGCCAGCAAAGGCACUGACAAGUCCUGCAGUGGAGAAAGCCAGUGUUUGGCGGGGUGGCCAGGAAGGCUUAGCAGUGGGGGGCUUUGGAUGGAGGAUCUCGGUAAGAAGGGAUAAGGUGGGCUUCUAGAACAGCCAGGUCAGGGGUCCACCCGACUCCUCCCUCAUUCCCUAACCCCCCACUUCCUGGUUGGGCAGGCCACAUGGAGAAUGUGAGUUUCUGGGCCCCCACACUCCCACCCCAGUCACUGACCAUCUGCCAGGCCAGCUGCACCUAGAGGCGGUGAGUCUCACCCCAAAUAUUUAACCCCUGACUCUGCAGUGCAUCGUUAGGGUCUGUACUGUGGCUCAAGUGGGGGCCUUUGUCUCUCUUGGGCCCAGUCCCACCUCAGGCACAGGGCCAGCUCCCAAACCAGCCCUUUCAUGGAUUGUGGCAGAUGCAAGAAAAGCCACCUUCUGGACUCUAUCCUGGCUGGGCCUGUUGUUCCAGCCGAAGCCCCCCAGAGGACAUGGGAGUUGUGGGGCAAUGACCACUGCCUCAGGGACCUUGGACUCCUGAUGGGACAAAGCUGUGAGCGGUAGCAGGAAGCUAUGAGCAGACAGGCCAGGCCCAAGGCCCACUGGGCUGCUUGCUGCUUAGACAGCCUCAGGCAAGUGCCCUACCCUCGUACAGCCUCCGCUUCUCCAUCUGUCCUCUGGCGAUGACCACAAAGGCAUCCUGGGCAUUUGCCACUUGCUGUGGGCUUUGCCAGACCUCAGACAUAUUCACAGGCACCAGCUCAAUAUCAUCCUUGCCCUAAGUCCCCGGGGAGGUUGGUGUGCCCCUUUGAAGAAGGGGAUGAAGAAACCAAGACUCUGAGACAUCAAAGCACUUGCUCAGGGUCACACAGCUGGUGAACCGCGAUUCUCCCCGCAAGCAAUCUCACUCCAGAGGCAUGUGAUCGACUGGGCUAGAAGUUACUCAUGGGGAUGCUAGGAAAAUCACACCAAUAACAAUCUCCACCAUCGUAAUAUGAGCUAAUACUUACUCUCUACGUGCCAGGCUCCUCACUGUUUCUGACUCAAUCUUCAUGACAACCCUGAGAGCUGGGUGUUAGCAUGGGAAGCUGGCCAGCUGCAGAUCCCUGAGACCUGUCCCUGCUUCUCCCUCCACUGGUUCUACCUGGGAACGCGUCUCCUGCGCAUCCUCCUCCAUCUGCCCCUCUGGCCUCACCUUGAUCAAAGUCACCACUUCUUACCUGGCCCAAUGCAACAGCCACCCACUCUCUUUUCUGAGAGCAUUUGGGAGCACAGGUAAGUUUUAGUUUGGAUGAUGGGAUGAUCUGGUUGCAUCAUACAAAGACCUAAGAGUUGGGGAGAUAUGCUUCCCGGCCUCCUGCCCCCAGGAGAGACGUGGACCCUCCAAGGACACCAUGAAUGGCAACCUUCCAGCCAUCAGCGACCUGGAAGGGGGCUCCCUGGGUGGGGGUGGCUUCAAGAGCCACCCUUGAUGUCUUCAGCUGUACCUGUUCAAGUCACAUGGCACCAACUGGCCCAUUCUUUCUACCCUGCCUGCAGGGGAGGAAACUGAGGCAGCCUGGCCAGGGCAGGGAACGUAGCCUGUGUUGUGGCUCUAACCCAGGUGUGGGCUCGGGCAGAUUCCUUAGUCUCUCUGUGCCUCAGUUUCCUCAUCUCUGAGACAGGGAUAGGAAUUGAUCCCACUGCAGAGGGUUGAGAUAAUUCAAGGAGAUAACCCUUAUAAAUGAAAGCGCUUUGGGUGUGGCCGCACCAUGAUUAGGAUAACUGGGUUUCAUCCUCUUCCUCCGUGUCACUGGUGGGGGCCUUGCCAGGGCAGGGCUCUUUGUCUGUUGUUCACUGCCAUGUCCGUAGCGCCCAUCAGACUGAAUGAACUAUGCUGGCUUUUGGAAUAACAGCAUGUAUUACUCCACCUGUCUCAGCCUUAAUUUCUUUCAACAUAAAUGGGGUUAUCAUGCCUGCUUGUCACGGAACAAGCAGAAAGACACUCAACAGCUGGAAAACAUUCCCACAGGAGUUCAGGUAUUAAGUUGCUUUGUAUGCAAGGCCAGCACUGUUCAACAGAAACUGAACCUGAGCCACACAGAAUUUACAUUUUUCUAGUAGCCACGUGAAAAGAGUAAGAAGAAAUGAGCGAAUUUUUUUCUAUUUUAUUUAACCUAAUAUAUCCAAAAUAUGAUCAAUUUGACAGGUGGUCAACAGAACAUUAUUAACGGAUAUUUUACAUUCUCUUUUUCACACUAAGUCUUCAAACCCUGGCACACAGACAUACGUGCACAGCCCAUGUCACGGGGCCAGUAAUUACUGAAUAGGACUGCGAGAUUCUAGGUGAUUCUGGGGCACCCGGACCUGCUUUGCUCUAAGCCCGCAGUGACCACAGUCUCUCAGUUCUGCUGUAGGAAAGCUGAUGGGCGCUCAGAGCAUCUUCCAGUCUCACUCGGUGCCUGGUACCCAGGGACACCUAAUAAAUGCUCAUUCUCUUUGAACCCCGUGACUCCUCCUGCCCACACUCACUGAUUAGAUGUCUGCCCCAGGACAGGGUCUCCUCUGUGGGUCCCUCCCUGGCUGCCUGACUCCAAAACAACCUGGGGCUCCCCACUGUGCCCACUGGAGCCUGGUGCCUGGGUGUGGAGGACCCUGGCACGAAGACCGCAGCAAGACACCCUUCCCCAGGUCCCCAGAGCCCCUGCAACCCUGUCCAUAGGCCAUGGGGCUGUGCUGGAGGCACCUGGCCUGCUCACAGCCAUCCCCUUCUCCAGGCUGCGAGAGCAGCCACCCCGGUAACAGAUCAUACUUUAGCAACAUCGGAGGGGCCACGUUCCUGCCAUCACCUCCACCCCAGCUGUCCCUGUCGCCCAGAACUGCUGUGUCCCCUGCUGGCUCACAGCCCAGCCUGCACUCUCCUCCCAUGUGUGGACACAGGUCCCUGCAGGCUCAGCACUCCCUGCCUGGCCAGGGCCACUGGCCUUUGAUCACAUCUGCAGUUCCUUCCUCUGGGGGUUAAUUCUGUCUCAGUGGGUGUGUAUUGGGGUUGCAUUGCUGCUGGAAUGUCUGGAACGCACAGGAGGGUACACCCCUCCCUGGAACCAGCCUCACCUGUCCCAGAGCCCAGAGAAGGGGCUGGGCCUCCUGCCACCACGGUCAUCCUCUUCUGGCGUCCUGCCUGCCUGGAGGGCCAGCUUGGGGGAGGUGCACCUCCGGUGCCGAGUAGCCCUCUGCCCCUACCUUCUUUAAACACUGCCUGGCUCCUGAAACAUCUGCCCUGGCUCUGACACAAAGGCAACCACCGUGGACACUCAGGAAAUAACUGAUGAAUAGUAACAACACUGAGGGCACCUACUGGGUGCCCAGCGACCGCUCAGUCCUUUUGUGCAUCACCCAUUGACGUCUCAUAGCCCUAGGAAGUAGCCACCCUUAGUGUUACUGGGGCUCUUAAUCCUACCUAUUAGGCUAUUAAAUUUUUGGACAAAAAGAACUUACUCACCUUUUUGGGGGCCCUUCUAUAACCUUAAUUCCACACCUUGCGUAGGGCUGGGCUCAAUAAAUAGGUGUUGAACUGAGCAGAUGUUUUAAUGCAAUUCGGUAACUCUUAUGUCUCUGUGUUCUAGGUGAAGAUAACUGAGGCUCACAGAAGUUAAGAAACUGGUCCGAGUUUACACAGCUGGGAAGUGGUGGUGCCAAGAUUCGAACCCAUGAAGACGGGCUUCAAAAAGCCACCUUCUCAGUACAAAGGGGACAUCAGUAUCAAUCCACACCCACCCCUUACAGACAAAGGGACAAGAGACAUCGGAGAGACAGGAUGAUGGGACCAGGCAUUCACCACCCAGGGAAGCAGAGUGAUUUACAGUUUGUUGUCAUUUUCAUCAGUACAAUUAAUCCCAGUGGUUGGUUGGGUAAGGAUUAGUGAUGGUAAACGGAGACUGAGUCAUUCUCCUAAGUUGUCCCCACAAGGGACUCCCAGCCUGUCCCUCCAAACAGACCUUUCAGGCGGAAGCAACUGCCAUUGAGUGAGCACCUUCCUGGCCCACACCCUACCCUAGCACCGGAAGCAGGUUUCAUCUCUGAUCCUUAUAACAACUAGUUGAGGUACGUGCUAUCAUAGCUCCAUUGCAGAUGAGGAAACUGAGCCUCAGGAAGACCACUUGCUCAGGGUCAAUAGGUUAGUAAGAGGUCUAUGCUUGUAACUGCUGCAGCCCCAACUGGGCACUUUCUAGAUAUUCAGUAAUUGCCAAAUAAAUUUUCGACCCCACCCCACCAACUCUUUGUCAUCUCUCUGCCCCUUACAGGCCCUGGCAACAGGCCCUUCACCAUUAACAAGCCCCCAGAGAUAUGAAUUGUCCACAUGCUAUAAAAUACCUGCUCAAUUUCACACCUAUUUAUGGAGCCCCAAGCUUAUGUAAGGCCUGGAAUUAAGGACAACAGAAGGCCCUCUCCCAAAAGAUGAGUAAAUCCCAACUAUUCAAAAGCUUGUAAGCUAGUAGGUAGGUUAAGGAAAAACACCCCAAUGGGUAUAAUUACAAAGAUUUGGCUUGGCGCGGUGACUCAUGCCUGUAAUCCCAGCACUUUGGGAGGCCGAGGCGGGCAGAUCACGAGGUCAGG